Long non-coding RNA from Gadus chalcogrammus (walleye pollock), 1759 nucleotides. RefSeq lists it as uncharacterized. The record is from RefSeq and is a predicted model, not a curated record. The transcript has 2 exons. Lineage: Eukaryota; Metazoa; Chordata; Actinopteri; Gadiformes; Gadidae.
AUGUGUCUAGUUGGUAAGCAUCAAGCUCCCUCUCAACCAUCUACCGCGAGAGUUCCUUUAAUUAUCGUUUUGUUUGAUAAUCAUGUUAAGAAUAUUGUCAAUGACAUGCUUAUCAAUUAUUUAUUGAGCUGUAUUAUGGAUUCUGGACCAGUUAACUGCACAUGUGACCGGCUAACGUUAGCAUCAUUCUAGCUAGGUAGCUACAUCUGAUAGCCACGUGUUGGACUAUUUCCAAGCCAUCUUCUCCUGUAGACCAACUCUACUUUACAACGUCCAUCAAUGCAUGGGCCCUCUCCUGUGAUGUCUUUGCACUGGGCUCUGAAACCAUGUGGAUAACGUGCCUCUCUGGACUUGACAAUCCGGAGACUGAGGAGACUAGCUACAGGUGUUAGCCUAGCCUAGUGGCGCCUCAUGGCAUCUCACUAACACGCCGACCUUCUCCUUGUCUUGCAGGAAGUGGAUCAGGCCACCAAGGAUCUCUGAGGUUAGUAUGAAUGUUUGGUUUUACGGGAGUAAGCUUAUAUUAUUAUUUUCUUAUGAUGUCUUUGCACUGGGCUCUGAAACUCUGUGGAUAGCGUGCCUCUCUGGACUUGACAAUCCAGAGACUGAGGAUAACAUGGAUGCAGUGACUUGGCCUUACGUACCUCAUGGAUGAUUAUUAACGUGCUUUUUCUUCGUCUUGCAGGACGUGUGACCUAGUGCCAUGAGCUGACUGUAAACAUCAGAUGCUGUAUCUUCCUCAAUGGCGCCAUCUAGUGAGUGAUCGCUGAAAGUACAUCCAAAUAAUAUCGCGUAUUUUGUUUAUCCAAAUAAUGCCAAUAUUUCUUUAAAUAAAACUAUCUUUGUAACUAAUGUGUCUUUUAUUACGGGAGGGGCAAUGUAUUUCUAUCAACACUUGAGUAAUAUUUAGAAACUUACAAUUAUUUAAUUACAUCUCUCCUCCAUUGACCAUAAAGGGUUACGCACAGAGCAUUGUUGUCUUGACUAAUGUCAGACAAUACGCAGGCCUAGACAAUAAAAUCUCUGCUCAAACACAAUUAAAAUAUCAAUCUGCUGAAAUGAAAAAGCAAUCAAUGCAGGCACCUACCCAAGCUGUCCAUGCUUCUUCUGUAGCGCCGGACAGCCAUCAGGUUGCCAUACAUAAUAACUUUCACUGACGGUCGCUGUUUGGUUCCUUAAUACCUUUCAGCAACAUAUAGGGGAAGAACAAAGUUCUGAGGUCUGUUUUACGUUGAAGUUUGAUUAGCUUUUAGUUAUGCUGAAUCUCAAAGUAACCAAGAUUCUGUCAUGUCAGAUUAUGAAUUAUCAAUUGAAGUUUGAACUAAUUAAAAAUCAUUUGCCAUAAUUUUAUUUGGGCUAUGAACGGUUGGCUUCCGUGAGGGCAUUAUCGAAUGUUUACGAGCUAUUAUUUGGUCGAAAUCAAUGAAGAUUACAUCAUAAAAAAAUAAUUCAGUGUAAUAUGAACUGAAUAUUCAGCUACACUACAGAAACACUCAGUUUUGCUGAAAUGUUUCUGAACGUCUGGGAAUAUCUGGAUGAUUCCGAUUUAGCAAGACAGUUCAAUUGUGUAGGGAACAUGGUUUGCAAGGAUCCUGUGUGUAAAGUUCGGCUGAAAGAAACCCAGGCUGAAAAUGUAGGAAUGAUAACGCUAUACAUUGUUAUACCACUAGACACUAUUUUCAAAUUUGCUUCUUGACACAUUUCAGCAGGAUUGAAUAGAUGGUGAUGACUUGUUUCUUCAUCUUUAUUAUAAUUCUAA